CCGGGAGCAUUGAUUUUGAGAUUGCAAACUAGUUUUAGUGGGUAAUGCAAGGCACUUGUAUUGGUUCGAACCCCGAGCGCACGCCAACAGACAACACAAGGCGGUGUGGAGCAACACGCUGUUUUAAUAAGCGCCCGAGCGCCGGCGGGCUGAGGCCUAAAAUGGCGUCAGCCCGAAACGGGGACGGGGCAGGGGUUUUAUAGUCUCCUGUUAACAGGACGUGUCUGACGUAACUGCUACGCUUACCCAGACGGCCUCUCUCUUGGUCUUCGGCGGGUACGUGUCUUCCGGCCAGCUCUCUUCCGCUUCUGCUGUCUUGAUGACGCACAGUGCUGGCGCAAGUCGUCUUGCGCCAGGCGACUGGGUCUGAGGAGGCAGGAGUUAUUCAUUCCCUUAAGCUUUCAGGCCGGGGGGAGAAUCUUUCAGGUGGUAGCUGCAAGAACUCUUAGUAUGUUGACCUCACCUCUGCCUUCCACAUACCACUACCAGUGAGGAAUUAGGAAUGCAUGAGAAGAGUGUCCAAGAAGAGUGUCCUCAUUCAUGCAAGGCUUAAGAGAGAAUGCAGGUCAACAUCACCAUGUCAAUCAGAGACACCUGCUUCCCUUUUGUCUUCUGCCAUGAUUGGAAGCUUCCUGAGGCCUCCCCAGAAGAUGAGCAGAUGCCAACACCAUGCUUCCCAUACAGCCUGUGGAACU
Molecule: long non-coding RNA, 695 nt
Filed under: Homo sapiens (human)
Lineage: Eukaryota; Metazoa; Chordata; Mammalia; Primates; Hominidae
Description: HSALNT0268861
Source: RNAcentral